CAACAAUCUUUUGAGUUUGGGAUCUUGCCCACAAGGGGGUGCAUCUUCCUAACACAUUCAUAUUUCCUGCUCACUCUCAUCCCUUCAGUGUGACCUUAAUCUUUCCUCACACUAAGAAGACAAGACCCAAGGACACCAGAGGGUCUAAAAAUGAACUCUUUUCCAGGACCAGCUAUUGCACUAUUCUUAAUGUUUGGGGAAAUCAAUGGAGAUUCAGUGGUCCAGACAGAAGGUCAAGUCCUCCUUUCUGAAGGGGAUUCCCUGAUUGUGAACUGCUCCUAUGAAAGCACACAGUACCCUUCCCUUUUCUGGUAUGUCCAAUAUCCUGGAGAAGGUCCACAGCUCCUCCUGAAAGCCAUGAUGGCCAAUGACAAGGAAAGCAACAAAGGUUUUGAAGCCACAUACCAUAAAGAAACCACUUCUUUCCACUUGAAGAAAGACUCAGUUCAAGAGUCAGACUCAGCGGUGUACUUCUGUGCUCUGAGUGACACAGUGACAGGGACUGCAGGGGAAGCUAAGCACAAACUCUGAGCGGAAUGAGGAACCUGGCUGCUGAGUGUUAGCCACUGUGAUCGACUCUGGUUAGGGACCAGGAGCUACUCUACUCUUGUUGAUGCCCACCACUCACCCCAGGCACUCUUAGUGUGAAAGCCAUCCAAAUAAAUGCUAAAACACGAUAGAAUAACUAAAAGUAAAAAUGCCUCACACCAGAUACUUUAACAGUGAGAAUGAAAACAGAAUGUCACCAAAGUUCUUCAACCUUGUUUGAAAUUUGUGAUUUAAAAAGUAUAAAACCUCAAGAUAAAUGAAAUGGUCUAGCUGUUUAUCCCUGUAUAAAAUGUAGUCUCCUGACCUUGUCUCAGGCCAUCCAAAGAAAUAGUAAUGUUUACAGACACAGAUGUGACAGAUGAAGUUGCAAAUGCUUAAUAUAUACCUGAAUGGGUAUACAUUCAGCUGGGGCAAGUUGGGGUGAUUUCUUAGGAAAACUUCUGCCCAACAAAUAAUAGGUUCUUAAAGAAAAAAAAAGAAUUAUAAAUGGAAGAAGUCAAAUUUUCCUUGU
This is a non-coding RNA of Rhinopithecus roxellana (golden snub-nosed monkey), 1060 nucleotides long. Lineage: Eukaryota; Metazoa; Chordata; Mammalia; Primates; Cercopithecidae. The record is from the annotation of a RefSeq genome assembly.